GAAGCCGGAAUUGCUAGUAAUGGCAGGUCAGCAUACUGCCGUGAAUACGUUCCCGGGCCUUGUACACACCGCCCGUCACACCAUGAGAGUUGGGAAUACCCGAAGCCUGUGAGCUAACAUUUAUGAGGCAGCAGUCGAAGGUAGAAUCAAUGAUUGGGGUGAAGUCGUAACAAGGUAAC
RNAcentral lists this ribosomal RNA (179 nucleotides) under uncultured bacterium. Its description in RNAcentral is "partial 16S ribosomal RNA". It matches the Rfam family "Bacterial small subunit ribosomal RNA", at positions 1322 to 1500 of the family's 1533-position model. The record is from RNAcentral.